CUCACUUCUGGUCGAUAAUAGAAUAUAAA
This 29-nucleotide small RNA is filed under the name Bombyx mori (domestic silkworm). RNAcentral describes it as "ovarian small RNA-14654". Lineage: Eukaryota; Metazoa; Arthropoda; Insecta; Lepidoptera; Bombycidae. The record is from RNAcentral.